CUGCAACAAACAUCAUG
This 17-nucleotide unclassified non-coding RNA is filed under the name Mus musculus (house mouse). Its description in RNAcentral is "oocyte_clustered_small_RNA8555". Lineage: Eukaryota; Metazoa; Chordata; Mammalia; Rodentia; Muridae. The record is from RNAcentral.